RNAcentral lists this ribosomal RNA (497 nucleotides) under uncultured bacterium. RNAcentral describes it as "partial 16S ribosomal RNA". It matches the Rfam family "Bacterial small subunit ribosomal RNA", at positions 28 to 507 of the family's 1533-position model. The record is from RNAcentral.
GAUGAACGCUGGCUGCGUGCCUAAUACAUGCAAGUCGAGCGAACGGACGAGAAGCUUGCUUCUCUGAUGUUAGCGGCGGACGGGUGAGUAACACGUGGAUAACCUACCUAUAAGACUGGGAUAACUUCGGGAAACCGGCGCUAAUACCGGAUGAUAUUUUGAACCGCAUUGUUCAAAAGUGAAAGACGGUCUUGCUAUCACUUAUAGAUGUAUCCGCGCUGCAUUAGCUAGUUGGUAAGGUAACGGCUUACCAAGGCAACGAUGCAUAGCCGACCUGAGAGGGUGAUCGGCCACACUGGAACUGAGACACGGUCCAGACUCCUACGGGAGGCAGCAGUAGGGAAUCUUCCGCAAUGGGCGAAAGCCUGACGGAGCAACGCCGAGUGAGUGAUGAAGGUCGUCGGAUCGUAAAACUCUGUUACUAGGGAAGAACAUAUGUGUAAGUGACUGUGCACAUCUUGACGGUACCUAAUCAGAAAGCCAAGGCUAACUACGGG